UGCUUCACUCCAAACCGAGCAGCUCCACGUCGAACACCAGGGUGGAGUUGGGGGGGAUGAUGCCCGGGUGGCCUUUGUUUCCGUAGGCGUAGUCGGGCGUGCAGGUCAGCUUGGCCCUCUGACCAACGCUCAGCUGGAGCCUACCUGCACCACACCCUCUUCCCAGCCUCGGAUCACUUCCUGUUUACCAAUCUUGAAUCGGAAAGGCUUAUCCCUGUCUCGGGACGAGUCAAACUUCCGCCCGUCUGUGAACAACCCUGCAACCACGGAGGAAAAGAGCUGUUAAACGUCUGAUUAAAAUCAAACGUGUUACGUGGUGUCAUUUUGUAAUUGCCCUCUUGUUAAUAAAGAUUUAAAACAA
Nothobranchius furzeri (turquoise killifish) is the source of this 361-nucleotide non-coding RNA. Lineage: Eukaryota; Metazoa; Chordata; Actinopteri; Cyprinodontiformes; Nothobranchiidae. The record is from RefSeq and is a predicted model, not a curated record.